Molecule: ribosomal RNA, 490 nt
Filed under: uncultured bacterium
Lineage: Bacteria
Description: partial 16S ribosomal RNA
Rfam family: Bacterial small subunit ribosomal RNA
Source: RNAcentral
GAUGAACGCUAGCUACAGGCUUAACACAUGCAAGUCGCGGGGCAGCAUGGGGGUUGCUUGCACUCCCCGAUGGCGACCGGCGCACGGGUGAGUAACGCGUAUCCAACCUGCCCUUCACCACGGGAUAACCCGGCGAAAGUCGGACUAAUACCGUAUGUUGUCCAUUGACGGCAUCCGAUUUGGACGAAAGGUUUGGCGGUGAAGGAUGGGGAUGCGUCCGAUUAGCUGGACGGCGGGGUGACGGCCCACCGUGGCGACGAUCGGUAGGGGUUCUGAGAGGAAGGUCCCCCACACUGGAACUGAGACACGGUCCAGACUCGUACGGGAGGCAGCAGUGAGGAAUAUUGGUCAAUGGGCGUAAGCCUGAACCAGCCAAGUAGCGUGCAGGAUGACGGCCCUAUGGGUUGUAAACUGCUUUUAUGCGGGGAUAAAGUGGCCCACGUGUGGGUUUUUGCAGGUACCGCAUGAAUAAGGACCGGCUAAUUCCGUG